UUACCUCAGUAACGGCGAGUGAAGCGGUAACAGCUCAAAUUUGAAAUCUGGCAGCAAUGUCCGAGUUGUAAUUUGUAGAGGAUGUUUCGAGCAUGGUCUGGCCUAAGUUCCUUGGAACAGGACGUCAUAGAGGGUGAGAAUCCCGUAUGCGGUCAGGUGCCUACGCUCAUGUGAAACUCCUUCGACGAGUCGAGUUGUUUGGGAAUGCAGCUCAAAAUGGGUGGUAAAUUUCAUCUAAAGCUAAAUAUUGGCCAGAGACCGAUAGCGCACAAGUAGAGUGAUCGAAAGAUGAAAAGCACUUUGGAAAGAGAGUUAAACAGUACGUGAAAUUGUUGAAAGGGAAGCGCUUGCAACCAGACUUGCACGCAGCUGAUCAUCCGCUGUUCUCAGUGGUGCACUCGGUUGCGUUCAGGCCAGCAUCGGUUUUGGUGGUGGGAUAAAGGCCUUAGGAAUGUAGCUGCUUUCGGGCAGUGUUAUAGCCUAGGGUGCAAUGCCGCCUACUGGGACCGAGGACCGCGCUUCGGCUAGGAUGCUGGCGUAAUGGUUGUAAGCGACCCGUCUUGAAACACGGACCAAGGAGUCUAACAUCUAUGCGAGUGUUUGGGUGUCAAACCCAUACGCGUAAUGAAAGUGAACGGAGGUCAGAACCCUUAAGGGUGCAUGAUCGACCGGUCCUGAAGUCUUCGGAUGGAUCUGAGUAAGAGCAUAGCUGUUGGGACCCGAAAGAUGGUGAACUAUGCCUGAAUAGGGUGAAGCCAGAGGAAACUCUGGUGGAGGCUCGCAGCGGUUCUGACGUGCAAUCGAUCGUCAAAUUUGGGGUAUAGGGGGCGAAAGGACUUAAUUCGGAA
RNAcentral lists this ribosomal RNA (848 nucleotides) under Thelebolales sp. RNAcentral's name for it is "partial large subunit ribosomal RNA". It matches the Rfam family "Eukaryotic large subunit ribosomal RNA", at positions 75 to 939 of the family's 3401-position model. Lineage: Eukaryota; Fungi; Ascomycota; Leotiomycetes; Thelebolales. The record is from RNAcentral.